This 449-nucleotide ribosomal RNA is filed under the name uncultured bacterium. RNAcentral's name for it is "partial 16S ribosomal RNA". It matches the Rfam family "Bacterial small subunit ribosomal RNA", at positions 29 to 523 of the family's 1533-position model. The record is from RNAcentral.
AACGAACGCUGGCGGCAUGCCUAACACAUGCAAGUCGAACGAUGCUUUCGGGCAUAGUGGCGCACGGGUGCGUAACGCGUGGGAAUCUGCCUUGGGGUACGGAAUAACUCAGAGAAAUUUGAGCUAAUACCGUAUGAUGUCUUCGGACCAAAGAUUUAUCGCCCUGAGAUGAGCCCGCGUAGGGUUAGCUAGUUGGUGGGGUAAAGGCCUACCAAGGCGACGAUCCUUAGCUGGUCUGAGAGGAUGAUCAGCCACACUGGGACAGAGACACGGCCCAGACUCCUCCGGGAGGCAGCAGUGGGGAAUAUUGGACAAUGGGCGCAAGCCUGAUCCAGCAAGGCCGCGUGAGUUAUGAAGGCCUUAGGGUUGUAAAGCUCUUUUACCCGGGAAGAUAAUGACUGUACCGGGAGAAUAAGCCCCGGCUAACUCCGUGCCAGCCGCCGCGGUAA